RNAcentral lists this ribosomal RNA (495 nucleotides) under uncultured bacterium. RNAcentral describes it as "partial 16S ribosomal RNA". It matches the Rfam family "Bacterial small subunit ribosomal RNA", at positions 28 to 507 of the family's 1533-position model. The record is from RNAcentral.
GACGAACGCUGGCGGCGUGCCUAAUACAUGCAAGUAGAACGCUGAAGGAGGAGCUUGCUUCUCUGGAUGAGUUGCGAACGGGUGAGUAACGCGUAGGUAACCUGCCUGGUAGCGGGGGAUAACUAUUGGAAACGAUAGCUAAUACCGCAUAACAGUAGAUAUCGCAUGAUAUCUACUUGAAAGUUGCAAUUGCAUCACUACCAGAUGGACCUGCGUUGUAUUAGCUAGUUGGUGAGGUAACGGCUCACCAAGGCGACGAUACAUAGCCGACCUGAGAGGGUGAUCGGCCACACUGGGACGGAGACACGGCCCAGACUCCUACGGGAGGCAGCAGUAGGGAAUCUUCGGCAAGGGACGGGAGUCUGACCGAGCAACGCCGCGGGAGUGAAGAAGGUUGUCGGAUCGUAAAGCUCGGUUGUAAGAGAAGAACGAGUGUGAGAGUGGAAAGUUCACACUGUGACGGUAUCUUACCAGAAAGGGACGGCUAACUACGUG